This is a long non-coding RNA of Oreochromis niloticus (Nile tilapia), 1953 nucleotides long. The record is from Ensembl. NCBI's taxonomy places the organism in Eukaryota, Metazoa, Chordata, Actinopteri, Cichliformes, Cichlidae.
AUGAAACCGCAGCCUCUGGAUCGAAUCCAUGCCUGUCAACUUGGAUCAAAUGCACACCUUUGGGUCCCCGGCAGGACCCGACACCCAGGAGUAAGAAGCCUCAGUCCUCCUAACUAUUUACAAACUGUUCAAGCGACUCUUGAAAGACUGGUAAGCGCAUUUACUCAACUCCUACAACCAUGUUCCUAGAGAUUGCUGGACAGAGCCUUUUGUCUGACUUUUUUGAAUAUGAAUAAGUUCAUUUUCACAAAUAUUUCAAUCUCUUAAAGCAAAUAGAGCUGCACAACAUGCCAUCAAGUAAAUAAAUGACUGAACAAAGAGGAAGCUAUUGUAUAAUAUGUAUACUGUAAUAUGUAUGUAAUAUGCACUACAGCAUCAUGGACUGUGGGUCUUAACUUGUGAUUUGUGCAGUGAAUAACAGUGAGGUAAGGACUGACCUGUUGGCUGCUCCUGUGUAUUUGCUGAUCAGCCAAUCAGAACCUGUACCAUCAGCUGCAUAGCCAACAACCUGCUGGAAAUUUGACACUGUCAUAUAGAUGCAUGGUGGAGCACAAGAUCUAACAAUGUCUGACUUGGCUUCCGAACAUAGGCUGUAUCAACUGAGGAUGACAAAAACGUACCAGUCACUGUGUUUCUGUUUCAACAUUAGUCCCCCCUAAUGUAGAGGACGAUCUUGUCUGGCAGCUUUUACAAUCAGAGUCUUGAUCUAAAUGCACUGUUGUGUCAAACACAUACGCUUUUCUGAGAAGAGCUCUAUAAAUUUACUAUAGGCUCUUGUUGGUGUUCCUUUCUUUUCUUAUGUAUUUAGUUAUACAUUUCCAUUAUUAUUCACACGAGUACAUGUCUAAUGUUAUCUGUCUAUCUAGCUAUGAAAAUAUUCCAACAAAUUAUGAAACAAAGAACUGAAAAAGACUUGAAACAUAUUUACAAAUAUGACUUGAUACAAUCUUUGGGUUAUAUGGUGCUAUGUCAUGUCAUUUACUUUCAUGACAUGAGGCACUCUGUGUGAAACUUCAGAAAACUGUUCUGAAACAGAGGUGCACAUUAUACAACAACUUUUGUGUCCUUGUGCACCCAGGAAUGCUGCAUCUUCACUUUCCUUGUUCAUUUCAAUUCAGUUUUAUUUAUUUAACACCAAGUCAACAAUAGCCACCUUGAGUUGUGUUAUAUUGAAAAGUAAAGUUUCUACAAUAAUACAGAGAAAACCCUAACAAUCAGAUAAUCCUCUAUGAGCAAGCACUGGCAACAGCAGGAAGGAAAAGCAGGAAUAAAUCCCUUGUCCAACCCGACUUAUGCAGGGGACACAUCUGCCCCAAGUGGAUGGUUAUGAGGGGGUUGUAAUAUAUUGUUUACUUGUAUUGUCUAACCGGAGAUCCUGAUUUGGAAUGGGAGCUGUGGGUCUCUUUUGAGAUAUCCCAAUGUUGGGUUGCCAUCAAGAAGAACCCCUUAUUACACAAUGUUGCCCUGAGGAAAAGAAAACUGAAUUUUUUUAACGAGCAAAAUAAAAGACACUUUCUAAAACCUGAAAAGCUGCUUUCUACAGCUUCACACACACAUUAAUUUUCAUUUAAACAUUUAUGCCAUUUUAAAUAUGAUUACUACACCAAAUAUUCUUACCUUCUUCUCACACCAUGUGGUCCUUUGGCCAUGUGUCAGAAAAGGACAUUCCACUUUUAAAUCAAGCUUGACAGUGACUUUAAAAGCUUAAUGAACUGAAAUUUGAUAUUUUUUAAAACACUGAUUGGUUGGCACCAUUUAAGUUGCCACUUCUUCUAUUUGCCGGUGGUACCUGCUGUCCAGGGGCCUGCCCUUCCACGAUGGUGUCUCUUCUUUCCAGAAAUGAAUUUAAAGUGCUUCUCAUCACAUGCAAGGUCUUGAAUAAUCAGGUUCAGUCUUAUCUUAAAGACCUCACAGUAUUGUAUUACCCUAAUUGAGCACUUAACUCUCAGACUG